AUUGAACGCUGGCGGCAGGCUUAACACAUGCAAGUCGAGCGGUAGCACAGGGGAGCUUGCUCCCUGGGUGACGAGCGGCGGACGGGUGAGUAAUGUCUGGGAAACUGCCUGAUGGAGGGGGAUAACUACUGGAAACGGUAGCUAAUACCGCAUAACGUCGCAAGACCAAAGAGGGGGACCUUCGGGCCUCUUGCCAUCAGAUGUGCCCAGAUGGGAUUAGCUAGUAGGUGGGGUAAUGGCUCACCUAGGCGACGAUCCCUAGCUGGUCUGAGAGGAUGACCAGCCACAGUGGAACUGAGACACGGUCCAGAGUCCUACGGGAGGCAGCAGUGGGGAAUAUUGCACAAUGGGCGCAAGCCUGAUGCAGCCAUGCCGCGUGUGUGAAGAAGGCCUUCGGGUUGUAAAGCACUUUCAGCGAGGAGGAAGGUGGUGAGCUUAAUACGUUCAUCAAUUGACGUUACUCGCAGAAGAAGCACCGGCUAACUCCGU
This 489-nucleotide ribosomal RNA is filed under the name uncultured bacterium. RNAcentral describes it as "partial 16S ribosomal RNA". It matches the Rfam family "Bacterial small subunit ribosomal RNA", at positions 30 to 506 of the family's 1533-position model. The record is from RNAcentral.